UUCAUGCUUCUCAGUCUCCAGAUAGGUGUUUAUUAAUUCUUAUCUAAGGAGUACAAGCCACUGGCAUGGCCUAGACAUAGCACAGAGCAGAGAACGCAGCAAGAAGACAACUUAUCAAGAUUUCACAGCCCUUUUAAAGCCAAAUCAGGCCAACCAGC
Molecule: long non-coding RNA, 158 nt
Organism: Corvus hawaiiensis (hawaiian crow)
Lineage: Eukaryota; Metazoa; Chordata; Aves; Passeriformes; Corvidae
Exons: 3
Source: RefSeq, a predicted model, not a curated record